RNAcentral lists this transfer RNA (73 nucleotides) under bacterium. RNAcentral describes it as "tRNA-Phe". It matches the Rfam family "tRNA". Rfam says of the family: Transfer RNA (tRNA) molecules are approximately 80 nucleotides in length. Their secondary structure includes four short double-helical elements and three loops (D, anti-codon, and T loops). Further hydrogen bonds mediate the characteristic L-shaped molecular structure. tRNAs have two regions of fundamental functional importance: the anti-codon, which is responsible for specific mRNA codon recognition, and the 3' end, to which the tRNAs corresponding amino acid is attached (by aminoacyl-tRNA synthetases). tRNAs cope with the degeneracy of the genetic code in two manners: having more than one tRNA (with a specific anti-codon) for a particular amino acid; and 'wobble' base-pairing, i.e. permitting non-standard base-pairing at the 3rd anti-codon position. RNAcentral also lists the same sequence under 5 other names. The record is from RNAcentral.
GGACGGGUAGCUCAGUUGGUAGAGCAACGGACUGAAAAUCCGUGUGUCGCCGGUUCGAUUCCGGCCCCGUCCA